CUGCCAAGGGCAUGGCUGGGUAGCUAUGUACGGAAUGGAUAAGCGCUGAAAGCAUCUAAGCGCGAAGCCAACUUCAAGAUAAGAUUUCCCACCGCAAGGGUAAGACCCCAGAAAGACUAUCUGGUUGAUAGGUCGAAGGAGUAAGUGCAGCAAUGUAUUUAGCUUAUCGAUACUAAUAGGUCGAGGACUUGACCAAU
Molecule: ribosomal RNA, 197 nt
Filed under: Clostridioides difficile
Lineage: Bacteria; Bacillati; Bacillota; Clostridia; Peptostreptococcales; Peptostreptococcaceae
Description: partial 23S ribosomal RNA
Rfam family: Bacterial large subunit ribosomal RNA
Source: RNAcentral